GCCGCACAUGCCCUUAAGACGGAGAUGAGAUGGUUCGGGGGUCAGGAGGAUGCGCUGCUCUUCAGAGGGUCCCAGUUCGGUUCCCAAGCACCCGUGUUGGGCUGCUCACGAGCGCCUUUAGCUCACACGCUAACACGGUACCCAGAGAAGCCAGAAGAGGGCAUCAGAUCCCCUGGAACUGGAGAAGGUGGUGAGUUGCCCAGUGGGUGCUGGGACUUGAACUCCAACCUUUGGAAGAGCAGCUAGAACUGUUACCCAUCUCUCUAGCCCCUCCCCACUCCACCACCCUACCCUUGCCCCAGACCACCUUCUUGAUCAUGAUGUCUCCCCUGCAAGCUUUAUUUAAAGGAAUCUGAAGUAGAGUAACACCAGAGGAGACAAGCUUACAAGCUAUCAUUCAAGAAAGCCUGCAUCCAUCAUUUCUGCAAACGGAGUCCACAGGCUGACGGUCCUCAGAGGGCACACAUGACUCAAGCAUCUCCCUGGGAACAGCGAUGACAAGGACAGGGACGGAUGGGAAAACAGAAUCUCUGCUUGUCUUCUGACUUCGGAAUAAGACACUAAUGGGUGGCAGGCAUGUUCAAUGUCAAACUCCAGCACUGUGUGUGGGGCGGGCAGGAGGAACUGUACACGUUUAGUAUCUCAGAGGAGAGAGAUUCAGAGCUGAGAAUGUAACCGAUGUAACCCUGUAAAGCCUUUUAAAAACUACCCACAUCUGACCCAAUGCCAUCAGUUACCAAGCUGGUUUCAGUUUCUUUGAGAAGCGUAACCUGUGUGUAAACCAUGCAAAUAUAAUAAUGUGGAUGA
Molecule: non-coding RNA, 807 nt
Organism: Peromyscus maniculatus bairdii (prairie deer mouse)
Lineage: Eukaryota; Metazoa; Chordata; Mammalia; Rodentia; Cricetidae
Source: RefSeq, a predicted model, not a curated record